Benincasa hispida (wax gourd) is the source of this 797-nucleotide non-coding RNA. The record is from RefSeq and is a predicted model, not a curated record. NCBI's taxonomy places the organism in Eukaryota, Viridiplantae, Streptophyta, Magnoliopsida, Cucurbitales, Cucurbitaceae.
UUAUUUGUAUUUUAUUUUUACAAAGAGCUAUGUUCCUCGGUAAAAGAAACAAGGCAAUAAAGUUAGCGUAAGGCGCAAAAGAAAGCGCUUUUUUUCUUUUGUGAAACACACCAUAUAUAAAAGUAAUACAUAAAGAAGAGAAAGCAUAGUCGAAGAGGAAAUAUGGAAAUAAAAAGACUCUUUAACACAAGAAAAUUUUGCAUUUAGGCUUCAUAAAUUUGAUUGUUUAUUUAAUAAAGAAGGACAACCCUAAUUAUUACUAUAUUUUUAAAAAUAACAAAAAAAGCCCCAAGGCCCGGGCCAGUGCUUAAAGCCGGGAGGGCUUUUUAAAACACUGGACAUAUAAUAUGUUGAAAUGCAUGUGAGAACUGUAUCACAAAGUGUCAAAUCCAUUCCUACCCCCCAAAGGGCAUCUGCAAUAAGAUAUUAGAUUUUCAUGUUUGCAUCCCAAUAUGCCAGCGACAUUCUUCUUGCACUCUAUUCAUCAGACGCAUGUGUUCUUUUUCAUUGUAACUUGGGAAAUGUCUGUACGUAGGUCUUUUUGAUCAAAUCAUACAUUGUGCUGAAAAUGUUGACAUCGUUGAAUUAUUCAAGCAUCUCCAUUCAAAGGUAAUGCUAGGUUUGCCCAUGCUAGAAGGAACCAAUCCUGCUUCAUGCUUUCCAUGUAGUGCUAUUGGUUAUGAAGCUGCCUGCUACAGUCGUAUAUGGAGUGAGGUUUUUUCUGCUGAUAUUUUUUUCUCAAAGUUUCGCGGUAAUCUUUUGAACCAAUAUAUUGGCUUGCAGUUCAGAAACAAGGU